AAUGAUCCAAAACACACCUGCAAGUCCACCUCUGAAUGGCUGAAGAAAAACAAAAUUAAGACUUUGGAGUGGCCUACACAGCAAAUUCAUCAGUGUUAAAUUUCAAGUGUUAAGCCAAUUUAGAGUAAAGUGUUGAAGUUAUAGUGUAAAAUUUAGAGAAAUUAACACUAUCAGUGUGUUAAAAGCUUGUUUGCUUCAGUGUUAUCACAGAGUUACAGGUAUCCAACACCCCCUGGUGUUAUUUGCAACAUCCGGGCAUUUAUUCAGCGAUCUCGCUGAAAGAUUUUUCCAGACGCCAUUUUCUCGUGCCAUGCGGAGGAUGAGAAACGACAACUGGUGAGUUAAAGCUACUUUAAAGUUUGCGUUUAAUGGACAUCUUCUAUCAAAAUUAUUAAUUUAGUGUUAGUUUUUACAUACGGGGAUGUAUUAACGCGCAAAUUAUGUAUUUGUCCUUGUUCGUUACACAAGGCGGGUGCGCGCCAUCUGAAGCGGUUUUAAAUAUUGCUCCUGUCUGUUACAAAUAAGUUCAAGUCUCAAGGAAAGCGUUUUACUCUGUGCUUGCAUUAUAUGGCUCUUUUUGUGCAAACAUGAAGUUUAUCGGAGUAGUUGAUAUGGUAGGUGUGUCGAACAUACGGCCUGCAGGCUGAACAUAACGUUAGCCCAUGGAUCAGAGGCCUUUUUCAACGGCUCUGCCACGGAGGCGUCCAAGCCGGCCUGAGGGAUGAUUCCAACAAUAAUAUAAAAUUACAGUUAUUUGAGACAAUUUUCUAUCACUCGCUUUCAUCUCGAGUAAGAGAGAUUUUAAAGUUUUAUUGGGCAGCUAUUUCCGGGGUUUUGUUUGUGUAAUAUCGCGCGCUAUCUAUUAUUAGCGCGCGAUAUUCAGCAACGUCAACGUUAAUCACUUAUUAUCAUUGGAGAUAAGUGUCACAUAAACUAAUAAAAUACCUCUGAUGGCGUUUACUUUAUUUUAACAAUACAUUUGAUGUACGUUCUCUUGUGUAGGAACCAACUGGAUCAUGAGACACUACUUUUAAAAUUUUCUUCUUCAGUGCAUUUGUUAAACAGGGUAGAAAGAUAUUGCUGUCAUCCUUAGAAGUUGACUGGUGAUCACCCAUCUACAAUCCUUCCUGAUGAAUCACACACCAUCCUCAGAGUGUUUCCACUAAAGAUCUGAUAGCUCAAGGUUUUAGACUCCUCUUUGGUCCACAAACAGCUUUCAAACUGCUGGAGAAGUGGCCUACAUUCUAUAAGGAAAAGGUGAUCAGAGAAGCAGAGAACCUUGACCUUACUACCACCUCAGUGCUCCAGAGUUUGCUGAAGUCUGCCAGGAAUCAGUAUCAUGAUGAAUCUUCAGAAGAUCACCCAGAGUGGGACAGUGAUAUGACAUAUUUUUUGCUGCUUCUGCAUAUCCUGCCACCACAACAUUUAAAAAAGAAAAAACUGAAGAUCAGCGCAGCUCAGGUCAUGAACCAUCUAGCUGUAUUUCACAAGUGAAUCGGCAGCGUAGAAGAACACUUGGAGAAACUGGAGGGACAUCGCCAGCCAUAUCUCCUUGCUUCAGGAACUCACAUGUGGGCCAUCAGCAGUUACUACGUUGUGAUUGACCCGAUGCUCAUUCCAUGUAAGGGAACCAUGUCGUUGGCAGCCUUUGAUGAACUUUUUAAAGCGCACUUCGUUUUCAGCUCUGAUGAUGCUCUCAGCAACGUGUACACAUUCCUCCAGACAACAGUCUACAGUAUAGAUGUUGACACCACUGAAGAAAGUCCAAAGGUGAAAGAAACUGAGAGCCAAGCUCAUGAACAGGAACUAAGUGUUACGUUUGCAGAGUAUUCCAUAAUGCACCUGUCAUGUUAUGUGAAGCUUUUGAUGAUACUUGAAGCUCUUCGAUUUUUGAUUGUUUUAUGCUUACAGACUGUUUUAUAUUGUACGGCUGCAUCAUAUAGACUGCAAGCAGCAGGUAUGAGCUUUGUUUGUUGAACAAGGUCAUUGUACAGGGUAGUUUGAGUGCCCUGUCCCUGGCUUAAAUGAAAUGUGUAGCUCUGUUAAAGGAAAAAUAAAAUGUAUUCAUUGCA
Molecule: long non-coding RNA, 2072 nt
Organism: Megalobrama amblycephala (Wuchang bream)
Lineage: Eukaryota; Metazoa; Chordata; Actinopteri; Cypriniformes; Xenocyprididae
Exons: 5
Source: RefSeq, a predicted model, not a curated record